AUGUGCAAACUGAGUUGCAAUAUUUUCAUGCAUUUGACUUCUUGUGAUAAUAUAUUGGUUUUAUAUUUCACGACUUUAGAAGGGUGCUCUUGUAUAACAGUCUCACAUGUGCCACAACUGAGAUCAGUCAAAAUGGAUGACAUAUACACAUACAACGUGUACACCUUGUCUCUUUUGUUAGCCACAUUUCAGGUUAAGCAACGCCGAGGACGGCUUUGUUUUCAAGAAGGGGAGGAUGGUGAGGACAUGGCUACCACAGUUACACCCAUAUCCCCUGCUGUUUUACCUCUUGGAACAAUUGCUAGAGAUCGCAUAUGCCAGUUAAAUUACCAGGUACUUUCGUUUCUUGGUAAUGUUUCUAGUGUUCAUGAGAAUAUGAUGCUGCCUAACUUAGAUACAUUUGUGUUGCUUGCAAUUGAAGGGCCUAGCACACACAAGAAGGAUGAACAUUGGAUCAUGAGCAAGUACGGAGAUGAAGGUGCGUGCGAAGAGAACAAGAAUGAAGGUUCUAGUGGAGAUUUCCGGACUUUGAAGCCACCAUGA
Molecule: ribosomal RNA, 543 nt
Filed under: Triticum aestivum (bread wheat)
Lineage: Eukaryota; Viridiplantae; Streptophyta; Magnoliopsida; Poales; Poaceae
Description: partial small subunit ribosomal RNA
Source: RNAcentral